Molecule: transfer RNA, 74 nt
Filed under: Candidatus Poribacteria bacterium
Lineage: Bacteria; Candidatus Poribacteria
Description: tRNA-Met
Rfam family: tRNA
About the family: Transfer RNA (tRNA) molecules are approximately 80 nucleotides in length. Their secondary structure includes four short double-helical elements and three loops (D, anti-codon, and T loops). Further hydrogen bonds mediate the characteristic L-shaped molecular structure. tRNAs have two regions of fundamental functional importance: the anti-codon, which is responsible for specific mRNA codon recognition, and the 3' end, to which the tRNAs corresponding amino acid is attached (by aminoacyl-tRNA synthetases). tRNAs cope with the degeneracy of the genetic code in two manners: having more than one tRNA (with a specific anti-codon) for a particular amino acid; and 'wobble' base-pairing, i.e. permitting non-standard base-pairing at the 3rd anti-codon position.
Source: RNAcentral
CGCAGGGUAGAGCAGUCCGGUAGCUCGUCGGGCUCAUAACCCGGAGGUCGUGGGUUCGAAUCCCACCCCUGCAA